UACGAAGGGGGGCUAGCGUUGUUCGGAAUCACUGGGCGUAAAGGGCGCGUAGGCGGCCAUAUAAGUCGGGGGUGAAAGCCUGUGGCUCAACCACAGAAUUGCCUCGAUACUGUAUGGCUCGAGACCGGAAGAGGUAAGUGGAACUGCGAGUGUAGAGGUGAAAUCGUAGAUAUUCGCAAGAACACCAGUGGCGAAGGCGGCUUACUGGUCCGGUUCUGACGCUGAGGCGCGAAAGCGUGGGGAGCAAACAGG
This 252-nucleotide ribosomal RNA is filed under the name uncultured bacterium. Its description in RNAcentral is "partial 16S ribosomal RNA". It matches the Rfam family "Bacterial small subunit ribosomal RNA", at positions 524 to 776 of the family's 1533-position model. The record is from RNAcentral.